RNAcentral lists this ribosomal RNA (342 nucleotides) under Rhodoferax sp. 5M8. Its description in RNAcentral is "bacterial SSU rRNA". It matches the Rfam family "Bacterial small subunit ribosomal RNA", at positions 60 to 404 of the family's 1533-position model. Lineage: Bacteria; Pseudomonadati; Pseudomonadota; Betaproteobacteria; Burkholderiales; Comamonadaceae. The record is from RNAcentral.
AGUCNAACGGCAGCACGGGAGCAAUCCUGGUGGCGAGUGGCGAACGGGUGAGUAAUAUAUCGGAACGUGCCCAGUCGUGGGGGAUAACGCAGCGAAAGCUGUGCUAAUACCGCAUACGAUCUACGGAUGAAAGCGGGGGAUCGCAAGACCUCGCGCGAUUGGAGCGGCCGAUAUCAGAUUAGCUAGUUGGUGAGGUAAAGGCUCACCAAGGCGACGAUCUGUAGCUGGUCUGAGAGGACGACCAGCCACACUGGAACUGAGACACGGUCCAGACUCCUACGGGAGGCAGCAGUGGGGAAUUUUGGACAAUGGGCGCAAGCCUGAUCCAGCAAUGCCGCGUGC